GCAAGUCGAGCGCUCUCUUCGGAGGGAGCGGCGGACGGGUGAGUAACGCGUGGGAACGUACCUUCUUCUGGGGAAUAGCCACUGGAAACGGUGAUUAAUGCCCCAUACGCCCUUCGGGGGAAAGAUUUAUCGGAGGGAGAUCGGCCCGCGUCUGAUUAGAUAGUUGGUGGGGUAAUGGCCUACCAAGUCUACGAUCUAUAGCUGGUUUGAGAGGAUGAUC
This 220-nucleotide ribosomal RNA is filed under the name uncultured bacterium. RNAcentral describes it as "partial 16S ribosomal RNA". It matches the Rfam family "Bacterial small subunit ribosomal RNA", at positions 57 to 305 of the family's 1533-position model. The record is from RNAcentral.